CGGUUGCACAAUCCACAUACUGGACGACUUUUACCACUGUUUACUAUCUGUUGAUUCUCCUACAGCCUCUCGUCAUACUGCCACAAGAAUGAGGCCUAGAACUGAAACUCUGGACAGAUCCACUACUCGAACUGGCUCCUGCCCUAAAACCUACAUAACCACCACUGCUACAAGAUCUGGAGCUGAAGCUACCUCUCUUGUAUGACCUCUAACUAGGGCCACCCGCAUCAAACUGACGUCAAUGUGUAUCACCACGUCCCCACAUCGCCAUCUAGCUACUCUCAACCAAAAGAGUAGACACCACAAGUACACCAUAUUCCACAACGCGUUGAC
Molecule: long non-coding RNA, 333 nt
Filed under: Prunus persica (peach)
Lineage: Eukaryota; Viridiplantae; Streptophyta; Magnoliopsida; Rosales; Rosaceae
Description: long non-coding RNA (PPER_LNC006277)
Source: RNAcentral